This 69-nucleotide transfer RNA is filed under the name Hordeum vulgare. Its description in RNAcentral is "tRNA-OTHER". The record is from RNAcentral. Lineage: Eukaryota; Viridiplantae; Streptophyta; Magnoliopsida; Poales; Poaceae.
GGGCAGUAGCCCAGUGGUAGUGUGUGUUGUUGUAGUCCAGGGGGUCCUGGGUUCGAAUCCAUGUACCCC